Talpa occidentalis (Iberian mole) is the source of this 952-nucleotide long non-coding RNA. RefSeq lists it as uncharacterized. Lineage: Eukaryota; Metazoa; Chordata; Mammalia; Eulipotyphla; Talpidae. The record is from RefSeq and is a predicted model, not a curated record. The transcript has 3 exons.
GCGGGAGGAAGCGCGAGACGCCGCCCUGAGAAACCCCAGCGAGAGUCAAGCGCCCUUCUCUGCGCAGCCGGGCUCCCGUCUCCAGCCUGACCCCGGCACCCUUGGGAGCAGAGGACAGAGGGAGGGCUGUGCCGGGACAGCAGCCGCAGCCCAGAUGGGGAGGACUUGCACGAGGAUUCCCUGAAGGGCCCUUCUGGCUGCGGCUACGUCAGGAUGGCAUGGACCUGAGUGAAUGUCUUUGGAAUUCUUGGCCAAGGCGAGAUGGACCAGGCGGUACCUCAAACUCUAGGAAGAGCCUCCAGCUUUCUUCCCACGUCUGGAGGCCUUCAAAGAGCUCCCUGCGAACCUCACAGUAGCUUCUUAACUGCGCAAUCUUGGCAUCGUGGAGCUGCAGAAGACUUUCCGUGUGGUCCUCUGCAAGGUGUCCACUCUCGUCUCCAGGCCCUGCCGCAGAAGGAAGACUGUACGGCCGUUCCUGGCUAUACGCGUGAGUCGGCGCCUCCAGAUGGGAGCCGCAGUGCAUCGUCAGCGGGGACGGGCCACCCUGACUGUAAACUUGAGGCCCACUUGAGUGCAGGCUCCCAAUGAGCAGGUACCUAGACCGCAUAGUUUACCCCUCACUGCCCUCUCAGGACAUGGGCUACACCUGCAGAUGCCGAGUUUAGGAGGCGUUCUCAUCACCGCACCAUUGCCAAAGCAGACGUGCUCCUUCAGAGAAGUACUAGUAGCCUUAGAAGCCAGGUAGUGAGACGGGCCUCCCCAGUGGCCUGGCGGGUUAAGGCUCAGUGCUACGGUGGUACCGUUGCUGCUACGGCCUGAGUUCAAUACCCAGCCCAGGGAGCCAACCCACAGUAAGGUGCAGUGGGCCCCUCCUCUUGCCCACUGCUCCCCUUAGUGGUGUAACUCAGUAAUGUUCACUCUUCCUUCCUGUGUCUCCCCCUUCCCUGUCUGU